GAAAAGGUGAUGAGAAAGAGGAGUACAUCCUGGAUUCUGACAGAGAGAACGAUCCACCGGCUGCAAGGUCGUUUCAGGGGAAUGGAUGGAAGGUAGCUUUUGAACCGGAGGGCUGAACUGUGUGGUUUGUAAAGGAUGAAUCAGGAGUAGGCCUUCACGCGUAGUCUGCGUUAACGGACAUGAGUGAGAAAAAAAGGUGGUACCGCGGAAUAUUUCGCCCUUUAC
This 225-nucleotide non-coding RNA is filed under the name Blautia sp. Its description in RNAcentral is "T-box sequence". It matches the Rfam family "T-box leader". From Rfam's summary of the family: Uncharged tRNA acts as the effector for transcription antitermination of genes in the T-box leader family. T-boxes are found upstream of many aminoacyl-tRNA synthetase genes and some amino acid biosynthetic genes usually in Gram-positive bacteria. Lineage: Bacteria; Bacillati; Bacillota; Clostridia; Lachnospirales; Lachnospiraceae. The record is from RNAcentral.